RNAcentral lists this ribosomal RNA (1358 nucleotides) under uncultured bacterium. RNAcentral describes it as "bacterial SSU rRNA". It matches the Rfam family "Bacterial small subunit ribosomal RNA", at positions 28 to 1381 of the family's 1533-position model. The record is from RNAcentral.
GAUGAACGCUAGCUACAGGCUUAACACAUGCAAGUCGAGGGGCAGCAUGGUCUUAGCUUGCUAAGGCCGAUGGCGACCGGCGCACGGGUGAGUAACACGUAUCCAACCUGCCGUCUACUCUUGGACAGCCUUCUGAAAGGAAGAUUAAUACAAGAUGGCAUCAUGAGUCCACAUGUUCACAUGAUUAAAGGUAUUCCGGUAGACGAUGGGGAUGCGUUCCAUUAGAUAGUAGGCGGGGUAACGGCCCACCUAGUCUUCGAUGGAUAGGGGUUCUGAGAGGAAGGUCCCCCACAUUGGAACUGAGACACGGUCCAAACUCCUACGGGAGGCAGCAGUGAGGAAUAUUGGUCAAUGGGCGAGAGCCUGAACCAGCCAAGUAGCGUGAAGGAUGACUGCCCUAUGGGUUGUAAACUUCUUUUAUAAAGGAAUAAAGUCGGGUAUGGAUACCCGUUUGCAUGUACUUUAUGAAUAAGGAUCGGCUAACUCCGUGCCAGCAGCCGCGGUAAUACGGAGGAUCCGAGCGUUAUCCGGAUUUAUUGGGUUUAAAGGGAGCGUAGAUGGAUGUUUAAGUCAGUUGUGAAAGUUUGCGGCUCAACCGUAAAAUUGCAGUUGAUACUGGAUAUCUUGAGUGCAGUUGAGGCAGGCGGAAUUCGUGGUGUAGCGGUGAAAUGCUUAGAUAUCACGAAGAACUCCGAUUGCGAAGGCAGCCUGCUAAGCUGCAACUGACAUUGAGGCUCGAAAGUGUGGGUAUCAAACAGGAUUAGAUACCCUGGUAGUCCACACGGUAAACGAUGAAUACUCGCUGUUUGCGAUAUACAGCAAGCGGCCAAGCGAAAGCGUUAAGUAUUCCACCUGGGGAGUACGCCGGCAACGGUGAAACUCAAAGGAAUUGACGGGGGCCCGCACAAGCGGAGGAACAUGUGGUUUAAUUCGAUGAUACGCGAGGAACCUUACCCGGGCUUAAAUUGCAGAUGAAUUACGGUGAAAGCCGUAAGCCGCAAGGCAUCUGUGAAGGUGCUGCAUGGUUGUCGUCAGCUCGUGCCGUGAGGUGUCGGCUUAAGUGCCAUAACGAGCGCAACCCUUGUUGUCAGUUACUAACAGGUUCCGCUGAGGACUCUGACAAGACUGCCAUCGUAAGAUGUGAGGAAGGUGGGGAUGACGUCAAAUCAGCACGGCCCUCACGUCCGGGGCUACACACGUGUUACAAUGGGGGGUACAGAGGGCCGCUCACACGCGAGUGGAUGCCAAUCCCAAAAACCUCUCUCAGUUCGGACUGGAGUCUGCAACCCGACUCCACGAAGCUGGAUUCGCUAGUAAUCGCGCAUCAGCCACGGCGCGGUGAAUACGUUCCCGGGCCU